RNAcentral lists this ribosomal RNA (482 nucleotides) under uncultured bacterium. RNAcentral describes it as "partial 16S ribosomal RNA". It matches the Rfam family "Bacterial small subunit ribosomal RNA", at positions 30 to 507 of the family's 1533-position model. The record is from RNAcentral.
AUUGAACGCUGGCGGCAUGCCUUACACAUGCAAGUCGAACGGUAACAGGUCUUCGGAUGCUGACGAGUGGCGAACGGGUGAGUAAUACAUCGGAACGUGCCCGAUCGUGGGGGAUAACGAGGCGAAAGCUUUGCUAAUACCGCAUACGAUCUACGGAUGAAAGCGGGGGAUCUUCGGACCUCGCGCGGCCGGAGCGGCCGAUGGCAGAUUAGGUAGUUGGUGGGAUAAAAGCUUACCAAGCCGACGAUCUGUAGCUGGUCUGAGAGGAUGAUCAGCCACACUGGGACUGAGACACGGCCCAGACUCCUACGGGAGGCAGCAGUGGGGAAUUUUGGACAAUGGGCGAAAGCCUGAUCCAGCCAUGCCGCGUGCAGGAUGAAGGCCUUUGGGUUGUAAACUGCUUUUGUACGGAACGAAAAGCCUCUUUCUAAUAAAGAGGGGUCAUGACGGUACCGGAAGAAUAAGCACCGGCUAACUACGUG